This 479-nucleotide unclassified non-coding RNA is filed under the name Hevea brasiliensis (rubber tree). Lineage: Eukaryota; Viridiplantae; Streptophyta; Magnoliopsida; Malpighiales; Euphorbiaceae. The record is from RNAcentral.
GGCAGCGGCGCCUCGCCGUGGGCGGGCGCGGCGACGGCGCUGAGGAUCCAGGCGGCGAAGCAGCUGACGGGGCGUGUGGUGACGACGAAGGCGGACAAGACGGUGGGGGUGGAGGUGGUGCGGCUGGCUCCUCACCCAAAGUACAAGCGGCGGGAGCGCAUCAAGAAGAAGUACCAGGCGCACGACCCGGACAACCAGUUCAAGGUCGGCGACGUCGUCGAGCUCCGCCGCUCCCGCCCCAUCUCCAAGACCAAGCACUUCCUCGCCGUCCCCCUCCCCCCGCGCGACACCCGCCGCAAGUCCCAGCUCCUCCCGCCUCUCCAGUCCCAGUCCCAGUCCCAAGACCAGGACCAGCCACCCACGCCUCCUCCUUCCUCCGAUUGAUGGAUUUUUCUUCUCCCGUAAUCGUAAAUUCGUAAUGUAAUAAUCUGUGCUGUACUAUGUACUCCAUUGAUUUUUAUUUGCUCUGGAUUUCGAAC